GGUAAUGCGAGUCGAUUCCCAAUUUUUCUGCGUUUUGAGUAUUUUAAAAUACAAUUUUGAUCCGUUUUUGGUGUCUUUGGUCAUGAUUUUUGUUGUUAACUAUAUUAUUCACAGUGCUACCUGCGAACAGGCAUACUCUGGCGCCCGCAAUUCUGCGUUUUCUGAUUAUGCGUGUCUCAGAAUGCUGCAAAUGCCAUUUCCGGGAUUCAAAUUUAAAAAUUUUCACGAGCACCCCCCUAAUAUUUCAUAAAGUGUCCGCCACUUGCUUAAAAGGUCUUAAAACUGUUUAUUCUACCAAUAAAUAAAGGGGUUUUUAUUGACUGGGAUUUCAAUAACUGGGACUGGGAUUUCUAAUAAAAAUCCAACUGGGACUGGGAUUUUGCCAAAAUUUCAGGUGGGAAAUGGGAUUGGGACCCCCCCCUUCAGGACCCUCUUUAUAAUGUCAAUAAAAAUAGAAUUGGAAUGUUUGUGCAAAAAAGAGCUGAAAAAACUAAAAUAAAGAAUGUUUUCUGCACAUUCCUAAACAACUUGAUGGUUUAAAGACAUUGUUGGAUUAAUUUUCUGUAUAUCUGAUGAAGGAAAAAGGGCUUUAAAGAUUCAUCAUGAGCGAAAUAAAAAUUUGAAAAGGAAUCGAGCUGAUCGAAUGUGGGCAUGUUCCAAAUACGAAAAUUUUGGUGUGAAAUGGGAUAUUUUACUUCAUAAUGCGAAGGUAGGAUAAGCAUUUUCAGAGUAAGAAUAUUCUGACAUUGCUUGGCUACUAUUUUUUAAUAAUCAUAUAGAGCCCAAAAUUGACCUUGCAAUGCAUUUAAAACAACUAAAAUUUGAAAAAAAACCCAACUACAAUUUGCUCGACAAUUUGAAAACUUAAAUAUAUAACCGUUUUUGUGUUAUAAGUUAUAACCAGCCGGCCUGCUCGGAAUCCAU
Molecule: non-coding RNA, 924 nt
Organism: Paramuricea clavata
Lineage: Eukaryota; Metazoa; Cnidaria; Anthozoa; Malacalcyonacea; Plexauridae
Source: the annotation of a GenBank genome assembly